GACGAACGCUGGCGGCGUGCUUAACACAUGCAAGUCGAGCGGUAAGGCCCUUUCGGGGGUACACGAGCGGCGAACGGGUGAGUAACACGUGGGUGACCUGCCUUCAGCUCUGGGAUAAGCCUGGGAAACUGGGUCUAAUACCGGAUAUGACUCCAUGAUGCAUGUUGUGGGGUGGAAAGCUUUUGCGGCUGGAGAUGGGCCCGCGGCCUAUCAGCUUGUUGGUGGGGUGAGGCCUACCAAGGCGACGACGGGUAGCCGGCCUGAGAGGGCGACCGGCCACACUGGGACUGAGACACGGCCCAGACUCCGUAC
Molecule: ribosomal RNA, 312 nt
Filed under: uncultured bacterium
Lineage: Bacteria
Description: bacterial SSU rRNA
Rfam family: Bacterial small subunit ribosomal RNA
Source: RNAcentral